RNAcentral lists this ribosomal RNA (433 nucleotides) under uncultured bacterium. RNAcentral describes it as "partial 16S ribosomal RNA". It matches the Rfam family "Bacterial small subunit ribosomal RNA", at positions 29 to 507 of the family's 1533-position model. The record is from RNAcentral.
AGCGAACGCUGGCGGCAGGCCUAACACAUGCCAGUCGAACGAACUCUUCGGAGUUAGUGGCGGACGGGUGAGUAACACGUGGGAACGUGCCUUUUGGUUCGGAAUAACUCAGGGAAACUUGUGCUAAUACCGAAUGUGCCCUUCGGGGGAAAGAUUUAUCGCCAUUAGAGCGGCCCGCGUCUGAUUAGCUAGUUGGUGAGGUAACGGCUCACCAAGGCGACGAUCAGUAGCUGGUCUGAGAGGAUGACCAGCCACACUGGGACUGAGACACGGCCCAGACUCCUACGGGAGGCAGCAGUGGGGAAUCUUGCGCAAUGGGCGAAAGCCUGACGCAGCCAUGCCGCGUGAAAGAUGAAGGUCUUAGGAUUGUAAAAUUCUUUCACCGGGGACGAUAAUGACGGUACCCGGAGAAGAAGCCCCGGCUAACUUCGUG